This 383-nucleotide long non-coding RNA is filed under the name Rhinopithecus bieti (black snub-nosed monkey). RNAcentral's name for it is "lncRNA (ENSRBIG00000045828.1)". The record is from RNAcentral. Lineage: Eukaryota; Metazoa; Chordata; Mammalia; Primates; Cercopithecidae.
GGGGCCUCUUCAGCUGGCUGGCUUGAGAAUAUCUGGCUUAAUGUUGAGUCUUGGGUUCAGCUCUCUCAUUUGUCCUAAGGACAGAAGAAACCUAAGGGACAGUGAGAAAGUGAGAGACACAGUAGAGCCAUUUAAGUUGGAGAAGACAGAGGGAGCAGAAAACAACACAGUGGGACAGAGUUCACUGGGAAGGCCUUGUGGUGAGCUGUUGAGUGUUGAGCUCAGACAUGAGAAAGCCCAGGACUGUCUCAAACUUUGCCAGGACUCACCAGGGGAUCCUCCGAGCAUCUCUAACCUCAUUUUGCUGCUGCUUUGGGAGAAGACCCUUGGCAUUUUUGUAUGUCUGUGCUGCGUCACUAGUUGAUUAAAAGAAAAAUAAACAC